This 6354-nucleotide long non-coding RNA is filed under the name Sus scrofa (pig). Its description in RNAcentral is "lncRNA (ENSSSCG00000061698.1)". The record is from RNAcentral. Lineage: Eukaryota; Metazoa; Chordata; Mammalia; Artiodactyla; Suidae.
GCCUGUGGCUUAUGGAAGUUCCCAGGCUAGGGGUCCAAUUGGAGCUGUAGUUGCUGGCCUACACCAUAGCCACAGUAACACCAGAUCCUAAAUGCAUCUGCAACCUACACCACAGCUCAUGGCAGUGCUGGAUCCCUAACCCACUGAGCAAGGCCAGGGAUUGAACCCAUGUCCUCAUGGAUACUAGUUGGAUUUGUUAUGGCUGAGUCAGGACAGGAACUCCACUAGUCAGAUUCUUAACCCACUGAGCCACAACGGGUACUCCGACUUCCAGCUUCUUUAGCUCACCUAGAUCCUAAAAGAGGGGUCCAGAGAUGUGCUGGAGGGGGACAGGAUAUUUCUAGGUACUUGUGCCAGAAGUAAGGGUCCCAGGACCUCUGCGUGGGAGUGACAACUGUGUCAACAAAGAGUCAGGGGCUGGCAUUGAGGCUCCAUUUGUUCAGAGGUCCCCUUGCUUUCCCUUGGACUAGGUUUCAUCAAGGGGCGAGCUGGGGCUGAUGGGCGUCCCUCAGGAUCGCCCACCCUCUGACCAGGAUGAGGAGUGAGCACCUCCCUCUGCGGACCCCCAUGCCAGCCUUGUGCACUGCUGGCCAAUCUCUCUCCUUGUCGCUCACACCACCAACUGCCUUUGACCUAUGCUGUGGGCCCCAGAUGAGCCCAAAUCUCUCCAUUCUGCUGUCUCUUCUCCCUCAUUCCUCUCUGUUCAUCUUUUCCCACUGGCUGGUGAACAACUGAAGGCAGGAAUUUUGCCUCCUUUAUUCCCAGUGCCCAGUCAUGGAUACACACAGACAGAUUUUGAUUGAAUUGUUGAGUCAGUGAGAAUAAGAAGCCAUCAGCAGCUCCUAGUGUUGAGAGUCAGAGGACAGGACAAUGCCCUGAAAGGCAGGAUGGGAAGGAGUGGGUGAGUCCCCUCUGAGAGGUCCCAAAGGCCAGCCAAACACUCAGGGGUGGGCAAUAGUGAUUUCCAUGCUGGAAGUGGCACAAGUCAGUUUCCAGGGCAAUGAAUAUAGCUUCUUAGAUAUUAAACCCAGCACUUAUAAAUGGUUAUGAAACUGGUUAUAGAAAACUUUAAAAGCUUUAUUUAUUUGCUUGUUUUAAAAGCUUUGUAGGUGUUCCCUGGUGGCCUAGGAUUAGGAUUAAGGAUUAGCCAUUAUCACUGCUGUGACUCAGGUUUGAUCCCAAACCCGAGAACUUCUACAUGCUGUAGGCUGCCUGUCCCCCACCAAAGACUCCAAAGAAGUUCCUGUUGUGACUCAGUGGGUUAAGAGCCUGGCUAGAAUCCAUGAGGAUUUGGGUUUGAUUCCUGGUGUCACUCAGUGGGUUAAGUAUCCAGCAUUGUGUAGGUCACAGAUGUGGCUCAGAUCCUGUGUUGCUGUUGCUGUGACUGUGGUGUAGGCUGGCAGCUGCAGAUCCGAUUGAACCCCUUGCCUGGGAACAUCCAUGUGCCAUGAAUGCAGCCCUAAAAUGAAAACAAACAAACAAAAAAACUGUAUAUUUACAAGUGGCUCAUGUUAGCAGUGUUUAGGAUGAACAAACAAUUGCUUUCUAAGCGUGAUUUUCUUUUUUCUUUUUGGCUGUGCCUGCGGCAUACAAAAGUCCUUAGGCCAGGGAUCGAACCUAGCCACAGCAGUAACAAGGCUACCAGGGAAUUCCAGGAAGUCACUUUUAAGGAGGGCUGCUCACUUGCCCUGUUUCUUGGGCGUGCAUUCUUUAUCAGAAUUCCUGGAGCCAUCCAUUUGGGUCUAAUUUCUUAUCUACCAGAUUGGAGAGCUGGGUUAGAGGCACUGAGACUUACAGGGAAACCAAACCUCAGGUGAUGAAGGGCUGGGAGGAGCAGGUGAUGGAGAGCCAGCCUCAUUGGAUGGGUGCAGAUGCGAGCUUAGAGGUAUCAAAAGUCAAGAGAGAGAAAACUGAAAGAGUCCUCUUCUGGACUCAUUACUGCAGAUAAUACAAAAGAGUUUGUGUGUAAGGAGGGAAGUCUGUUGCCAAGAGUGGCCAGCUGAAAGUCACUCACACCCAGGACUCUCUUCUGUUCAUGUCAGUCACUGCCACAGCUCCUCCAAACUCUGCUUUUCCCCUUCUCUAAGCACUGCCUAUUGCUCCGUAAAGAAUGUAGAUGCUUCCUCAAAGCCAUUGAUUUCUUUGAGGAAAGAUAAUAAAACAGGAAUUAUAUAAGAUUGACCAGAGUAAAAGGCAAGUGGCUACUGGUGUGCCUGGCACACUGUGGGAGCAUGAUGUAUUUUUUCCUGCUUUCCAAGAUGAACUGGAUGUCACAAGCAUCAGUAGAAGAGAUUGUCAGUUUUGCAGGGUGUGGUAGAGGAGAGGGAAAACACCUAAUUUCGGAGAGAACCAGAGGAAGAUUCUCCCUGCCCUCUGAGGCUUCUCCCAGUUAUUCUGAGAAAUAUUGAACUCCCACUGGACCACUUCCUGUGCUAUCUCAGGAGGCCCCUGCUCUUCCUUCUCUCUCUCUGACGUGUGCCCCGCAGAUCCCCCUCUUUGUGCCCAGGGUGCUGGGCUCCUUGCCCAUAGAUCUGCGAAUUACUCCCUUUGAGAACCUUGGGGAGGGAGGCAGCCUGACCUUGCUCAUCUGCCUGCCAGCGUGAGGGCAGGGGGUGAGCGGGUAUAAGACAGGGUGCAAGGACAGCCAUCUGAAGAGUAGCGCAGUUUGAGGGAUGAAGGGCUCUUUCCCGGAUCUUGGCCUCGGCUGAUUCCUGCGCGCUGGGGAGGUAGCUUCUUCACGCCGGUUGGGGGGGUGGGGGCGGACCUAAGAGAUGAGGGGAUACAGAAAUGAUGUGGGAGAGUGUCUCAAGAAUUGGGACAUCGGAGUCUGGAGGGAAGGCCCGGCUCCCUUUGGCCCACUACCGCCUCCAGACAAGAUUAGAUCGACUUCUACUGGCCGCUUGCAAGAAGCUAUCCAUUACCCACUCUCCGUCGUGCAAAGGGCCGAGAAACAGCUAAUUGGAGCAGGGCCGUGGUGGCUUCCAGCCAAUCAGCACCAAGGAACGGCCUUUGAGGCGGGGCCGUGGUUAAAGUCGCCUGUGAGGUGAGGGCCGAGGCAAGUGUGGGCAGGGCUUUCCUGUAGCGAAACGGUCCCGACCCUCUUCGCGCGGAUUGGCUGCCCCGGCUCAUUCGAGUGCCUGUCAAGCAGCCGCCCUAUUAUGCUUGCGCAGUUUCUUUUGUUCCUCUCCAUUUUCAGUUGUCCGGCCUUGUUCGCCUACUUAACGUCGCUGUGAUGGCCACGUUCUUUUGGAGGUCGAGGUCUUCAGGAGCUGGGACCUUAGAGGCUGUGAGGGAUAGCUGAGGUGAAGGGAGAGCGCAUUGGGUGAGCCCAGAGCAGGCCAGGGAGGAGGGGGACGAGCCAAGAUGCAAGCCGCAGGGAGUGAGGCCAGAAAGCCAUCCGGGGACAGGCAGGGGAGGGACAUUGUUAGAUUUGCAUUUGAGAAGGUCCUUCGAAGAGUGAGGAUGGAAAGCUGUGCCAGAGGAGAGGAGCAGCAGAUACGUGUCUGUUAGAGCUCAGUGUUACUUCCUCCUACCUUACAGGUUACUUAGCUCCAUUGUCCAACUACUGCUUAUGUCUCAUAAGCCGGGCUACUCAGUCCUCGACCUUACAGUUAAAAUACCUCGUGGAUACACCUCUCAGUCAACGCCUUCUGAAAUAAACCUUCCUAUUGUGUCACUUCCCCCAACCCCUACCUGUCUCCAUUUCAGAGUUCCCUAUCUCAGGUCCUUCCCUUAUCCACCUGGUCACAUCGGCCACCAUUGAGCACUUCAUAUGGAAAGUAUUGAUGCGUCAUCCCCUCGGCCUAUGACCCGCUUAAGGGGACUAGCACCCCCUCACUUGGGUGCUGCAGCUUCCUGGCAAUGGCAGCCUUGUUGAGUGCUUGCACGUGUUCACUCCUUUCAUCCUCAUAACAACUGUUCCAGUGAGGACUCUUACCACCCGAUUUAGGAUGAAGUCAGAGAGGUUAAGAGGAGCACCCAACCUCUCAGGUGGAGUAGUGGCCCCAGAACCGUUUCUUAAUCACCACUCUCCACAUUAAACUGUGCAUGUGAUUUAUUUUGAAUGCAAUUUAAAAAGUUUUGUUGAGACAUGAUUCACCUACUAAACAAUUCUUCCACUUAAAUUGUACAAUUUAAGCGGUUUUAGGAUGUUUACAGAAUUUGUGUACAUUAUUUUACAUAGAUACACACAUAUAUAUGCGUAUAUAUUCUUUGGUGUGGUUUUUAGGCUGAAGGCUAUUUAUUUUCUGUCAAUAAAUGCACAUUUUGUUUUCACUAAGGUGUCAAUUGUUGGUAUCACUAUACAUGUACUCUGUACCAUGCUUUUUUUUUUUUUUUUUUAAUGCUGCACCCUUGGCAUGUGGAAAUUCCCUGGCCAGGGGUCAAACCGGAGUCUCUGCAGUGACCUAAGCUGCUGCAGUUUGGUUCUUAACUCACUGUGCCACAGUGGGAACUCCAUGUACCAUGUUUUUUUUUUUUAAUUUAGUAAGUUAUAAUUUGAUUUUACAACUUGCAAAGUAUUUUCAUUCUAAUUAAUUCCUCGAUUUUUAUUGAUUGAUUCAACAUAUAUUUUGAAUCUCACUACGGUUCCAGCAUUUUUCCAGGAACUGAGGAUUCCAACCCACUAAGGCAAAGCACCUGCCUCGAAUGGCUAACAUCAUGAUGGAGACGAUCAGAAAGAGGAAUAGACAGUAUAAUACUUCAAGUAUUGAUUAACGAGUGUAGUGAAGACACAUAAAAUGGCAGAGAUGUAAAGAGACUGCUUUCUUAGAUUGGGAGGUUAGAAUCGGUCAUUUGUAUGACAUAGUCAUAAAUUUCCCUUUGCUCCCCUUUUUUUCCUGUUAAACUGAACCAGUGAAGUCAAAUACAUACCCAGAUUUUAGAUUAGAACAUAAUUUAUGAAAAGGGUUUCUUAUCUACAACGUUGCUCUAAUUCCAAGAAAUGUCUCUCCUUCGAACUUGUUUAUCUACAUCUUUGAAUAAGUUAGCUAUAACAAGAUUAAGUGUCUGAUAAGGAGAAUUACUUACUUAUUAGGCAGUAAUAGAAUAAAAGAAUAUUUUACUGGCACUGAAUGUUAAAGUUGAAAAACUGAAAACUGGCUCAACAGAGUAAAUGCACUAUGAUCGGUAAGGGUCUUGGUUCUUUAUUUGUUAGCAUAGAUGUGACUAUGAAUCUCAGUAGUUUCUAGAACCUUGUCUGUUUAAAUAAUGAGAUCACUGAAUUUGCGGCCACCUGAAAUCUGGAUUCAAAUGCCAUCAAAGCUGAACAAAGUCUUUGUUGUCUCCACUGCAGUAGCUCAACUAAAAACCCUGCAACGUUUUGGAGUUAUGUGUUAUGCAGUUUUACCAAUAAACAAAGGGAGCUAGUGUUCUGUUCUACUCCAAUCAGACUGCAGAAGAGAAUAACAAGUACUUCCCGGCGAUGUUUACAAAAUUUAAAAGAACUGUUGAAGUUUCGUAAACAAUGGGAAUAAAUCGUAUUUUAAAAAUUGAGUAGCAGUUUUAGCUUUUUUCUUGUCAUGUAGAGCGUCCUGUAGUUUGAUAAAGGCUUGAGAGCUAUUUCUUGCCUUCGGGUUCUUAAUAUACUAGUAAAAUAUUAAUAUAUUAACUUCAAAUGAUCCACAUCGGAAUUUUCCACAGUGAGGGUCUGAAGCCAUCCCCUCCACUCAGAGCACCUGGUGAGCCGGUUUUGCCAAUAGAGCUGGGUGGAGUUUGCUGUAUUCCACUUUUUCAUCCAUGGCUAAGAGCUGGGCUACUAGGCUUGGGCAGCGUGGGGUCACUGGAUCUCAGCUCUAUUUCUAAAUUGGCACACCUGCCUUGGGAAACAAGAAGCAUUGCCUCUGAGACCUAAACUAGUGAAAACAUAGCGUCCAGCAGCGAUGCCACAGGUGUGGCGCUCAGAGCACAGACACACCUGCCCCAGAAGACAGGCAAGGGCAGAUCCUGGAAGUGGAGCUGAAGCCGUCUAAUGCUGAAGGUUCAGUCUAAGAAAAGAACACGCAAUUAUGAACAACAUAACAUGUUUGUGUGACAGUUUAUUUAGAAUGACAGUGUAAAACAAUUGCAAAAUUUGAAAAACUGACAACAAAAUGUUAAAAAGAACAAAUUUAAAAUUAAUUGCCUUCAAGUUCCCAUUGUGGCUUAGCAUGUUAUAAACCAACUGGUACCCAUGAGGAUUUGGAUUUCAAUUCCUGGCCUCGCUCAGUGGGUUAAGGAUCCAGCGUUGCCUUGAGCUGUGGUGUAGGUGGCAGAUGUGGCUUGGGUCUGGUGUUGCUGUGACUGUGGCGUAGGCCAGCUGCUACAGUCCAAUUCGACCUCUAGCCUGGGAACUUCCAUAUGCCAUGGUGUGACCCU